UACGGGAGGCAGCAGUGGGGAAUAUUGCACAAUGGGCGAAAGCCUGAUGCAGCUAUGCCGCGUGUAUGAAGAAGGCCUUAGGGUUGUAAAGUACUUUCAUCGGGGAGGAAAAAACAAAACUAAUAAUUUUAUUUCUUGACGUUACCCGAAAAAGAAGCACCGGCUAACUCCGUGCCAGCAGCCGCGGUAAUACGGAGGGUGCUAGCGUUAAUCAGAAUUACUGGGCGUAAAGAGCACGUAGGUGGUUUUUUUAAGUCAGAUGUGAAAUCCCUGGGCUUAACCUGGAACUGCAUUUUGAAACUGAAAUACUAGAGUAUCGUAGAGGGAGGUAGAAUUCUAGGUGUAGCGGUGAAAUGCGUAGAUAUCUGGAGGAAUACCUGUGGCGAAAGCGGCCUCUAAACGAAUACUGACACUGAGUGCGAAAGCGUGGGGAGCGAAAC
RNAcentral lists this ribosomal RNA (440 nucleotides) under uncultured bacterium. RNAcentral's name for it is "bacterial SSU rRNA". It matches the Rfam family "Bacterial small subunit ribosomal RNA", at positions 340 to 774 of the family's 1533-position model. The record is from RNAcentral.